UGGGAGCCAAUUGAUGAGGCUGUGAAUCUCCUGAUCAAGAACUGAAAAUAACUUGAACUGAUGUGCAAAUUAAAUACACAGUCACUGGCUACAAGUCAUGAGGCAAACUAGAGAAGACUUGAAAGGUUCCAGGAAGAUGCAUGGCUCAUGCAAGCAGCACAUGCUCUCCUGCAACUAAUCCGCCGAGCUUGUUUGCCAAACAAGAAAGAUCUGCUGCCCCUUUUGCGAUUCUCGAAUUGUUUCUUGGCCAUGAUAGCCAUGGCCUCACAAGUGCAUGUCAAAAAUGCUGAGGGAGAAGACUCCCACCUGCAACCCCACACCGAAAGAGAAAGGAAACGAACCAACACUGCAAACACAUGCACGGCACCCCCACAAGUCCCUUCACGCCUUGUCUUGCCUUCUCGUCGGGGCCUUCUCCUCCCUGGUGCGCCGUCGCAAUCUUAGCCGCGCCUAACGAGCGAGGCAAGAAGCCGACGAGAGCACAUGAGACAUAGCUGUCGUAGCAGUACCAGCCUUGAACAAGGGGGUUGCACCGGCAACGACUUCCAUUUUGCUGUGUUUCACUGUGCUUGUUGCUUUCUUUGUCGAGCUCGUCGAUGUGGAGCAGAACUUUGAUUUCGCUGAUGACACAGUAAGUAAGAAACGCUAUUAUUGUGGAAUGCCUCGUAGUUAAAGACUUGGUAACUAUAAAUUCUAGUCAAAUCAGAGCUUAAAUACUGAUAGCAAAUAAGAUUUUCUCAACUAUACGAGAAAAUAUCUUUAUUUUGUUGAGUGAAAUCUUCUAUUCUGUUGAGAAAAAUCCUUCCUUCUAAUCUAUAUAAAUAGGAGAGGGAGUAUUCAAGUUUCUUCAAUAAAAUUUUUUCAAUAAUUAUAUCUUCUAUUUUUUUCCAACAAAAACAUCGGAGCAUAUCAUGAAAAGCUAAAACUAUUGUUCCCCUUCACAUUGUAGCAUCUGCUACCAAAUCUAAAAGAGAUAUGUGAUGCAUCUACUACCAAAUCUAAAAGAGAUAUGUGAUGCAAAAUGUUAUCACGAUUCCUGAGCACAUCUAAUCAGUAAAGCUCCUUUCAAGAUUCUUAAUGAAGUCUAUAGAAGGAGCAAAAGGAUCUAAUUAUGCAAUCAAAAUUGGUUCUCCAAUAAUAUUUUUCCUACUUAUCGCAGAUUAUGGAGAGUUAUUUCAGGUUGCUUACACUAAUCCAUCGAGGAUGUGACUGUCUCCACGAUCUAGAAUGACCAGCUGCUGUUAUUGCUGAUGGGCCACCUAAAGGUCAAAGGCUUCCAAAGAGUUCUUUGUUGAAAGGCCACAUAUCCUCUCUUCGUCCUGGAGUUGCGAGAUGACUGAUCUGCAACAAAUAGAUCAUUUAAUACUAAUAGAGAGAUCCUAAUAAAUGUUUCCAUAAACUCUCUGCUUGACUUUAUAAAUCCAUCCUCUUUCAGGCUUGGUCUCACGAGACAUAAGCCAAAAGAUUUGCUAGUUCACAAUAGUAAUAGAAAGAAGCAUGAACAAGCACCAUAAAGGAAAGGAGAGUAAAGAAUGUGCCUCAAAAUAAAAGCAUCUCCUUUCUCUACAGAGAAAAUGCAAAUUAAGGUACAAACAAUAUAAACACAGGAUGAUGCAGACAAGUAUAUUACUACUUUGCAUAAGAAUUAAGCUAACCAGUGGCUUGAAGAAAGCUUCACACCUUUUGGAGGGUACUUGAAUUGUUGCUCAGUAUCUUCCCUGCGUCUUCAUUCUCUUUUCAAUAGACUAGAUUAUUCGUAUUACAACAUCAAUUAUUAUAAACUGCUACUUGCCUAAUAAGAUCUAAUCACACAAGACAUGACCACAGGUGGUUUGGUACGGCGUCACUCCUCAUCUCAGCUCUUGAGUCUCAUAUCCCAGUCGUACAGAGAUGGCAAGAUCUACCAUCACCACAAUUGAGACAUAGCCCUGUAGAAGAUGAAAUUUCUAUAAUUUGAUUUUCAAAAGAAGCACCUUUUUUUCUUAUCCAUUGUUAAUAUUAGAAUGAGAUAUCACCGCAAACGGAUGGACAAUCCGACCAAAGGAAGAAAACCGUAGGUGAUCUUGGGAAACCAAAUAACUGGCUUUACAAGAAGAGGCUUUCUUCACAAAACUAUUGAUCGCAAGCUGGUGGUUCAUGCAUUAGAUUACCUAAAAGAAACUAAUUCAUUGAUCAAUCUCUCCUUCUCUAAGGUUGGAGCUGAAAUUAAAUGGCUGCAUCACAAAUCACGAAUGUCAAAUUGCAUCGAAAUCCUUUAUUAACAAGAACAAGCAUCCCUCGAACUUCCCAAACAAUCACCGAGUAUCCAGGGAAUUCUUACAGCAAAUGAAGAGGAUUGCGGAGAAAUUAGAGUGAGAAUUGCAAAUUUAGGGUAAUUUACUAGAAGAUGAAUCCCUAAACAAAAAUCAAAUAGAAACAAUUUCUCCAAUUCACAACAGCAAGAAAUUUCGAUUUGAAGCAAAAUCCAAAUCAACCCUAGAAAAAUGGCUAUGAGCAAACGAAAAUCCUUAAAGAAAAAAACACAGAUCUUGUGCAGGUUAGAGAAAAAGCAUUCCCUCUACCUUGAAGAAAAGGAAAAGAAUCGAUGGAAUUAACGCUCAUACCUCUUGCCACCCAAGAUGUUUGGGAGAAUUGGUGCUCGAGAUUGGCCGAUAGAAAUUAGAGAGGAAGGACCCUAAAGCAGCGGAAUCACAUCGGAGAAAACUCUCGAGCAAUGGUGUCGCGGUCUCGCUACGAACUGCCAAGGGAGGAAAG
Molecule: long non-coding RNA, 2754 nt
Filed under: Musa acuminata (dwarf banana)
Lineage: Eukaryota; Viridiplantae; Streptophyta; Magnoliopsida; Zingiberales; Musaceae
Description: long non-coding RNA (MACU_LNC002421)
Source: RNAcentral